UACAGAGGGUGCGAGCGUUAAUCGGAAUUACUGGGCGUAAAGCGUGCGUAGACGGUUAUUUAAGUCGGGUGUGAAAGCCCCGGGCUCAACCUGGGAAUUGCAUUCGAGACUGAAUAGCUAGGGUGCGGAAGAGGGAAGCGGAAUUUCCGGUGUAGCGGUGAAAUGCGUAGAUAUCGGAAGGAACAUCAGUGGCGAAAGCGGCUUCCUGGUCCAGCACCGACGUUCAGGCACGAAAGCGUGGGGGGCAAACAGG
RNAcentral lists this ribosomal RNA (253 nucleotides) under uncultured bacterium. RNAcentral describes it as "partial 16S ribosomal RNA". It matches the Rfam family "Bacterial small subunit ribosomal RNA", at positions 524 to 776 of the family's 1533-position model. The record is from RNAcentral.